RNAcentral lists this long non-coding RNA (1907 nucleotides) under Homo sapiens (human). RNAcentral's name for it is "HSALNT0344469". Lineage: Eukaryota; Metazoa; Chordata; Mammalia; Primates; Hominidae. The record is from RNAcentral.
CGCACUCCAGCCUGGGCGACAGAGCGAGACUCCGUCUAAAAAAAAAAGAAAAAUCCCCCACAAAGUAUUAGAAGUCCUGGCUUCAGAGCAAAGAAACCUCCACCCCAGGAGAUCAGAACCAGCGCAGAUGGCCCAGCGGCCACCGGCCAGGCCUCAGAGAACGAUCACAGACAGAAAACUCACGCAGGUCAGCGGCCUCAGGGAGUUCACCACCAACCACUGAGCCGUUCUGUGCGCCAGACCCCGGCUGAGCACUCGGCGCAAGUAAUCGAUUUUCACUCAUGGGGUUCCUGUGGAGCGGGAUGGCAGCGAGGCUGCGGGCUCCUUUUCCCCAGUGAGUCGCGGAGGAGGACUGAAGGAGGGGCCUGGGUUCCGGGAGCACCAGCGGUGCAACCCCGGGGGAGGCCCUGGUCUACGGCGCGGGGAGCUCAGCCAGUGCGGCAGGCGUGAGGCUGGGCGGGAGGAGAGCUCUCCCGCUCCGCUGACUCACCUGGCGGCCUUGACACACAGAAACAGGCCCCAGCUGAAGGUGCGGCGGGCCGGCACCCUCCUCUCAGGCUGGGAGCUACGGGAAUCCUGGCUCCCCCCAGGCUCCUCUCCAUGAACCGAGUGGCAAAGCCUGCGGGAUGAGCAGUGUGGGGAGGUGUUUGUGGAGCCCGUCACCCUUCAGCCUCUGAAAGACUCACCGUCAGACCAAGGAGCUGAGACCCCAGGAGAACGCACCCUCGCGGAGCCUGAGUCCGCAGACGUCUCAGUACAACCGCCCCCAAAUGAAGACCUCAGAGGGCAGCCGACAGCUUGGGAACAGUGAGGGAAGGAGCAAGCAGCCCUCAGGCCCAGCACAGCAGCCACUCAGGGAGCACGGGGAGGGCCGGUGUAAGUUCCAAGCUGAAACGAGCAUUUUUAUAACAGCCCCGUGGCGUCGGCACCACCGCAUCCCAUUCCACAGAUAGACCCAGGCUGGAGAGGUGAGCAAGGCCACGUGGCUGGAAAUGGGGAGAUCAGGGUUUCACCCCAAGCCUGAGAGCCCAGGGCCGCGCUGCUGACUACUCUGUGUGCAUCUGGCAGCUGAACCUUCCUGUUCCCAUCACCGUGAGGCCGGAAGGGUCUCAGGACCUCCCCAGCCUCUCUUGGCAGAUCCUGCAGCUCCUGGACGGAAAAGAGGGGGAGCUCAUCACCUACAAACCUCACCAGAGCUCCCAGGAAACAGAAAAAGCCCACAUUCUUCCUGGUCACUCCACAGCACCCCCCCUUUCCUUCUGGGUCCCUUCCCUGCUCCAAACACCCCCAGCUCCCUGGAGACUCAGCCUGGACCACCGCAGACCAUAGAUGGGCAGACACCAGGGCCCGCCUUCAGGCGGAAUUGUGCCCAUCUGUGCUUCAGAGCCUUUCCCUGCACAAUGAAGACGUGGUCUGCACCUCACAUGGUGGCUGCCGUGAGGAUGAAGGACGAGGCUUGGGAAGCCAUCUGCACAGCUUCUGUCCACUGCAGAGGCCCAGAUUUUUGGAUGAGCACACACUCUUCAUACAUGUUAGAAGAUGUAAUGAUCCCAUUGACAAAAACAGAGUGAUAAGACACUUAAGAAUAAAUUCUGCAAGAAACGUAUGCACAACCUAUAUGAAGAGAACACAGACUGUCUGAAUGAAUGGAAGGUAUAUACUGUCCUUAGAGAGGAAGAUUUAACAUCAUAAAUAUUCUAUUCAUCUUUCCACCAGUUCAGACCUCAUCUCAGUUUAGUCUACAAAUUAAACACAACCCCGGUUAAAAUACCAACAGCAUUUUUCAUGGAUGAUCGUUAAUUCUAAAGUUCGCUUUUUAAGUUGGGUGCAAUGGCUGUCACUGGUAAUCACUGUACUUUGGGAGGCUGAGGCAGGAGGACCAUUUGCACUUAGGAGUUUGAAACCAG